Molecule: RNA transcript, 1213 nt
Organism: Sesamum indicum (sesame)
Lineage: Eukaryota; Viridiplantae; Streptophyta; Magnoliopsida; Lamiales; Pedaliaceae
Gene: PNSL1
Gene name: PsbP-like protein 2
Source: RefSeq, a predicted model, not a curated record
GGCCAGUCAUAAAGUGCAGUAUAUAUCCAUAGCAAGAUAGAGAAAUCAACAAAGCUUGGGCUGUCAGUUAGUCUGCAGAGAUGGCAGUUUCAUCACUCUCACUCACCUUCAUUUCAGAACCGUUAACAAAGAAGUUACUCGUCCGCAGUUGGACGAGCUCAGCUGAGUGCGGUGCAGUUUCUUCGCAUGGUGUUACUAAGUGCUCGAGGAGCGCUUCAGAUAAAACUAACUGUACAGUUUCUGGGAACUGUAGAAGGAGGGAACUUAUACUUGGGAUAGGAGCCCUGACUGCCAAUUCAUUACCUGCAAGCCCCCUUCUCGCAGAAGGAAAACUAGAGAAUUAUCAAGUUUUUGUUGACAAAGUUGAUGGUUAUUCAUAUUAUUAUCCCUCAGACUGGAGAGAUUUUGACUUCAGAGGUCAUGAUUCGGCAUUCAAAGACAGAUAUUUACAACUUCAAAAUGUAAGAUUAAGUUUUAUACCAACGGAUAAAACUGAUAUCCAUGAUAUGGGACCAAUGGAAGAGGUUGUGGCAAAUCUUGUAACAAAUGUAUACUCAGCACCAACUCAAGUAGCAACGAUACUGGAUAUGCAAGAGAGAAACAUGGAUGGCAGGAACUACUGGACGUUCGAAUACAUACUCACGUCCCCAAAUUUUGCUCGAGCAGCUUUUGCAACAAUAGCAAUCGGAAACGGAAGAUACUACACAUUAAUCGUCGGAGCAAAUGAAAGACGGUGGAGAAAAGUCCGAAACAAGCUCAAAGUGGUGGCCGACUCCUUUAAAGUGCUGGACAUUUGAAUGCUCUUGUGACCACAAUCUUACACGGAGCUGUUGUUACCAGGUCUUUGCUCUAUACAUAACCAAUGAAUUCGAAAAUGCGUGAACACAGACACGUCUGUUUUUGUAAAUGAUGAUAUAUGUUUCCUUGGCUCUUCCUCUUUCGAGUCAGAAAGAAUAUGAGGCAAGUUUUCAUACUUGAGAUUGUAAAACCGAAACUUCACUUUUCCAUCUUCUUAUAGUCCAUUCGAAAUUGUACAUUCGCCAGGAGUUUGAGGGAAUGGAGAGAUGUGCAUCUCUUGUUUUGUCUGGUAAGAAGGAAAGACAGGGAAAGAACAGGGCUGAGACAAUCCCUCUAUAAGAACAAAUUUUCUGUCCAUCUUGGUUAGGCCCGUUAAUGGACGGGUAUUGCCCUACCCGGAUUCGAACCCAACAAA